RNAcentral lists this ribosomal RNA (630 nucleotides) under Triticum aestivum (bread wheat). RNAcentral describes it as "partial small subunit ribosomal RNA". The record is from RNAcentral. Lineage: Eukaryota; Viridiplantae; Streptophyta; Magnoliopsida; Poales; Poaceae.
AUGAGGGUCGCGCCAGGCGGCGGGGAGGCAACUGUGCUUGUCACGGAGGUUGACGGCGUACCUCUCCGCUUCACCAACGGGGUGGACAUCGACCAGGUAACCGGAGAGGUCUACUUCACCGACAGCUCCAGGAACUACAAUAGGUCGCAACAUGAAAUGGUCACAAGAACCGGAGACUCGACGGGUCGGCUACUGAGGUAUGACCCACGGACAGGAAAGGCCGUCGUGCUCCAGGCCGACAUCACUUACCCCAAUGGCCUCGCCAUCAGCGCUGAUCAGACACAUCUCGUCAUCUCAUCGACCGGACCGUGUAAGCUGCUACGAUACUGGAUCAAGGGCUCCAAGGCGGGCACCAUGGAGCUAUUCGCCGACCUCCCUGGCUAUCCAGACAAUGUGAGGCCCGACAAGAAAGGAGGAUACUGGGUGGCACUACACCGUGAGAAGGCUGAGCUCCCCUUUGGCGUUGAUAGCCACCUGCUAGCAUUGAGGAUCGAUGCCGAUGGAAAAAUAAUCGAGGAGAUGCGGGGACCAAAGGGUGUGAGGCCGACCGAGGUGGUGGAGAGGAAAGGUGGCAGACUAUUCAUGGGAUCCGUCGAGCUUCACUAUGUGUCCGUCGUCACGCGCAAAUAG